CGUCUACCGCCGCAUCCUGGAGGAAGGCGAGGGCGACCCCAGCAACCUGAGCGCCCUGCCCGCCCAGAACCUGCUGGCGGACCCCGUCAACUCCAGGCUGCCGAACCAAGACACCCAGGAGGAAAUGGACAUCUUCAGCCAGGCUGUGCUCAUCAUCAACGCGCUGCUCUAAUCCCGCUAGGCCAGAGAAGCAGCCGGCGCCCUCCGCAGAAGUGCCGCCUGGACGUGGCAGCCUCGACCACGUCCCUCCCCACCGCCAACCACCCUAAUAAACCUGCUUUUAGCUCUCA
Podarcis raffonei (Aeolian wall lizard) is the source of this 290-nucleotide long non-coding RNA. RefSeq lists it as uncharacterized. The record is from RefSeq and is a predicted model, not a curated record. NCBI's taxonomy places the organism in Eukaryota, Metazoa, Chordata, Lepidosauria, Squamata, Lacertidae. The transcript is spliced from 2 exons.